UUUAGUACGAAAGGACCAAGAAAACAGGACCAAUGCUAACAGCACGUCCUAAACACAAGGCUGAACACAACUAAAGCCAGACAACACGUACUUACAACCCGGAGAUAACGGGCUU
RNAcentral lists this ribosomal RNA (115 nucleotides) under Sceloporus sp. RNAcentral's name for it is "partial 16S ribosomal RNA". Lineage: Eukaryota; Metazoa; Chordata; Lepidosauria; Squamata; Phrynosomatidae. The record is from RNAcentral.